This 207-nucleotide ribosomal RNA is filed under the name uncultured bacterium. RNAcentral describes it as "partial 16S ribosomal RNA". It matches the Rfam family "Bacterial small subunit ribosomal RNA", at positions 568 to 774 of the family's 1533-position model. The record is from RNAcentral.
UGCGUAGGCGGUUUACUAAGUCAGAUGUGAAAGCCCCGGGCUUAACCUGGGAACUGCAUUUGAUACUGGUAGGCUAGAGUAUGAUAGAGGGGGGUAGAAUUCCUGGUGUAGCGGUGAAAUGCGUAGAUAUCAGGAGGAAUACCAGUGGCGAAGGCGGCCCCCUGGAUCAAUACUGACGCUGAGGUACGAAAGCGUGGAUAGCGAACA